CCUACGGGUGGCAGCAGUGAGGAAUAUUGGUCAAUGGGCGCGAGCCUGAACCAGCCAAGUAGCGUGAAGGAUGACUGCCCUACGGGUUGUAAACUUCUUUUAUCAAGGAAUAAAGUGAGGCACGUGUGCCUUUUUGUAUGUACUUUAUGAAUAAGGCUCGGCUAACUCCUUGCCAGCCGCCGCGGUAAUAAGGAGGAUCCGAGGGGUAGCCGGAUUUAUUGGGUUUAAAGGGAGCGUAGAUGGGUUGUGAAGUAAGUUGUGAAAGUUUGGGGCUCAACCGUAAAAUUGCAAUUGAUACUGGCAGCCUUGAGUACAGUUGAGGUAGGCGGAAUGCGUGGUGUAGCGGUGAAAUGCUUAGAUAUCACGAAGAACUCCGAUUGCGAAGGCAGCCUACCAAACUGCCACUGACAUUGAUGCUCGAAAGUGUGGGUAUCAAACAGGAUUAGAUACCCGGGUAGUC
This 460-nucleotide ribosomal RNA is filed under the name uncultured bacterium. RNAcentral's name for it is "partial 16S ribosomal RNA". It matches the Rfam family "Bacterial small subunit ribosomal RNA", at positions 338 to 795 of the family's 1533-position model. The record is from RNAcentral.